Small nucleolar RNA from Ipomoea triloba (trilobed morning glory), 107 nucleotides. Lineage: Eukaryota; Viridiplantae; Streptophyta; Magnoliopsida; Solanales; Convolvulaceae. The record is from RefSeq and is a predicted model, not a curated record.
AGGAGAUUCCUAGGACACUGCCUCCUGAGAUCCUUGAACCUCUUCCAUGCCUCGUAUAGAUUUUCACUUCCGAAUUGCUGGAAAUUAUGGAUUUGCUUCUUCAAUUU